This 1033-nucleotide long non-coding RNA is filed under the name Cyanistes caeruleus (blue tit). Its description in RNAcentral is "lncRNA (ENSCCEG00000017811.1)". The record is from RNAcentral. Lineage: Eukaryota; Metazoa; Chordata; Aves; Passeriformes; Paridae.
GAACAGCCCUCCAGUCCUGUCCUGUCCAGCCUCAAAUCCUCAUCUUCUCCAGAGGAAAAGUCUGACUGACUCCAGAGGAAAUUGAGCCUGGGAAUUCGACAGAGCAACCCUGUCAGGACUGAAAAAUGAGCCCAUCUCAAGGCGUCCUGGCUGCGUGGAGCACACUCAGAGCUCCACCGGGCGAUUUUGAACGUCGCUCUCUGUGGCUGCUCCGUGUUUGCUUUGCUCUUGACCUCACCACUCGUAUCUUGCUGCUGUUGCAAAACCCAUUCGUGGGCUGGAGCCCAGAAAAAUGGAAACUGCGCUGCCUUCAAGAUUCUCGCCUUUCUGAAAAAGCCCUUCCUGCUUCCUGUUUGCCCUCUCGGCGGUGUUUCCAAAACAAAAUUUCCACUGCCUUUGGAAAACAAGGAGCCACGCUGAGCAGGAAUGCAGGCUGCAGCUCAGUGGCACAGCCAGGGCAACCCCACAGAGGGAUGCGCUUCUGAAAAAAGCCUGGAGGCUGAGAUUUUAUUUCUACCCAUGGAAAAAAAAAAGAGGUUUCAGGCUUGUGGUGUCUUCUGGGUGCAGGAGUCAGUUAUGACCAUUUCCCUUUCAACCGAGGUGUUUUAUGCAGAACAAAGAGGAUCAUUUCCCCUCCCCCUGGAGCUGGGGGUGCUGAUGUGUGGGGUUCCCUGGGUUUCUGAACACCUUUUGUCUCAUCACCAGAUAUUCUCAUUUUUGAGCAUCUCCCGAGGCCAAAGGGAACCCCCCAGGUCAUUCCUGGCCCUGGAGAUCCCACCUGGCAGAUCCAGACUCAUUCCCACCCCCUGAGCUCAGGUGAGCCUUUCCUGGAGCACCCCACACCCUACCCAGGUACCCGCUGUGUGCAUUAAUAUUGGCUGAAAAGCAAAACAGAGACUCAACCCAUGUUUAUUUUGAAAUAAUCCCUGGAAACAGACCAUGAUAGCAACUCCAGGAACUCCUUUCCUUUCCUUUUGGCAGUUGCAGCUCUUCUUGAAAUAAACAGGUAACUUACAGGCCUCGGGGGGAUCUU